GUCUAUGGCCAUUCCACCCUGAAUGCACCUGCUCCUGUCUGAUCUGGAAGCUAAGCAGGGUCGGGUCUGGUUAGCACUUAGCUGGGAGACCACUCAAGAUACCAGGUGCUGUAGGCU
This 117-nucleotide ribosomal RNA is filed under the name Carlito syrichta (Philippine tarsier). The record is from RNAcentral. Lineage: Eukaryota; Metazoa; Chordata; Mammalia; Primates; Tarsiidae.